Anas platyrhynchos (mallard) is the source of this 2912-nucleotide non-coding RNA. NCBI's taxonomy places the organism in Eukaryota, Metazoa, Chordata, Aves, Anseriformes, Anatidae. The record is from RefSeq and is a predicted model, not a curated record.
CGGCGGCACACAGGGGGGGGAGCCGCGGGACGCAUGCGCGUCGCGUGGAGGGGGCGCGGCUGAGGGGAGGUGCGUGUGGGGUCUCGGUGUGUCGUGAGUCGGGGGUGUCCCCUGAGGGAGCGCGGGGCUGGGCUCUUCCCUUCGCUCCUACAGUGACUGCUUCGUCUCCUCCUCCUUCCCCGCUCGUUUUUCCAGUGACCCCCUGCAGGACCGCCCACCUUGCAGGCAGUCUGCAGCCUUGUAGCUCUUCAGCUCCCUCCAAAUGCCUGGUUUAAAACAUGUAGGUGCUUGGUAGCCUGGGGCUGUUAGCGUACAAGUGCUGCGAAGCGAUUUCAGAGUUUCGUGUGCUUUCUGUUUGCUUCUGAAUAAGAGAAGUUGAGUCUCCUCGUGGAGUUCCUUACCAUUCGUUUGAUGAGCCCAUUUAAUUGCAGAGUUGCAAUGUAGAAUGAAACCAUUGCUGCUGAGUUAAUUAAGACAGUACAAAUAUUUUUAAGGCUGGUACAUGGUGUAUGUCAGCAGUCUUGUAAAAGCAGUAUGAAAGUCAAUUAGAAAAGGACCCAUCAAUGAUAGAGGUGGAUUCUAUUACAGCACAGAGAAUGAGUUCAGCCAGCUUAAUGAGAAAGACUUGAUAGUUUGAUUGAAGCUGAAAUGUGACCUUAGAAUGAUGGGAGAUCUCAGUUCAAAAUGCUCACUGAACUUUUCUCUGACCUGCCUUCAACCCUCAGCCUACAUCACAGGCUUAAGCAGGACUCAGGUGGAAUUCCAGUUUGAUCAGCCCUCAGUUUUCUAAGCCCAAAUAAGGAAAAGCAAAUAACGUAACUUAAAAUCCAAAUCUUUUAAAUUCCAGUUCAGUCAUGUAUGAGUCAAAUUUUCCAAGCUACUCAGGUGGUAUUACUUCAUUAGGUCUUGAGUCACCUGUGCCUAGGCUGUGGAUUUACAAUAAGAGCUUUAGUCCUUGUUUUGCACCCCAAUAGUAAAAGUCUGCUGUUAAUGAAGAGGGAGAUUUUCAUAUGAGCUAACUAAAGGCACCCAAAGGUAUAAUUUUGAAAGCUGUUUGAACUGACGCUAGCUAUUUCGUAUCUAUAAAUGAUGUGAUCCAAAUUCUUUAAGAACUUAUUCUGCCUUUUGAAAUUUUACUCAAAGGUAUUAGGGCUAGAUAUUAUCAUAGUUUAAACAAAAUAAAGCUGUUUUCUCCUUCUUUUGUCCUCAAAGUGAAGCUAUAGGAUAAAACUUUACAGUGCAGUUAAAAGGUAAGAUUUAUAUUAAAAACUGCAUAUGGUAUGCUGAUUUUUGUAGACUAGAAGACUUAUCUCACAUAUUAUUUAUGGAUCAGACUAUAUGAAACGUUGUGAGUCCUCAUGCUGAACUCUCAAAAUUUGUUGUGAAAGAUGAAAUUCUGAGGCAGAGCAAGAGUCAGCAUAGGCAGUAGCACCCACUAUGGAAGUACUGACUUUAUUCCAUUUAAGUAGUUCUGGUUUAGGAAAAAAUCUGGGUUCUUCUUAGUAUUCAGCUUCUCAGCUGCUAUUAGAAGUUUACAAAGAAACCUGACCUUGUGUAAAUACUUUUGGUGUUGAAAAUCUGGGUUGACUAUCUUUUAAUAAGCCAUCAGAUAUGAACUUGUCUCUUCCUUCAUAAAAUAUGUAUAUAUAAAAUAUAUAUAUCUUUCAGAUAAAGUCAUUUUAAAAAUGAGGUAUCAUGAUGGAAUAUGUAUCACAACCCUACAGGAGUUGUUCCAAUAAUUAUUUACUCUGUGCUUUGUUUCUGCUAUGUAUAUCCAGUUUAAAUUUAUCGAGAUUCAGCUUCCUGGAAUUGUUGUUUUUAAUGCCCAUAUCUGCUUGUUUAAGACCCUAUUUUAGUUAUGUUCUUGUGCAGACACUGUUGGUAACAGUUCUUUAUGAAGUUAAAUUGAGUUUCUUCAGUCUGUCUUUAUAAUGUUAGAUUCUUGCAACUUUUUGAAUCUUUUAUAUUCCUUAGAUUCAUAAAUUAGAGACAUUUUUGUAAUACAUUAAGUAUUUUCAUUGUACUUUAUGCCGAUAUCAGUGGUGAAUUUCUAAGUUACUGAACUUUUAUACUGAAGAUGGGUGUAAUUUAGGAAUUACUAGCUUUUUGUAGUCCAUUUUUAUGGUGACUUUCUGGAGAGCCUCCUGACAGCACAUAUAUUUUUCUUUACUGUUGCCCUGAGAGUCAGGAAAAAAAGGUGUGGACUCCUGAAUCAUACAGUAAAUUCAAAUGGAAAUGAAGCCUGUGUUAUCAACCGCUGAUAUAAACAACUGACACAAACAUUAAUAAUGAGUUAUGAACUACUGACACAAAAUAAGAUUUUUUUCCUAUUUACCUAACAAAAACAUACAGCACAUGAAGUGCUUAACAGAAUCAAGUAUAUGUCUGUGUCACCAAAAAAAAAAAAAAAAAUUAAAAGUAACUGCUUUACUGUGUCAAAUCUAGAAAAGUCCUUUGUUUUCUGCAUUUAGUCAGACCCAUUUGCUAAGUGGAAGGUAGAAAAAAUCUUUUUAUUGGCUGAUUUGCAUUAAGAGGCAUUUCUUUUUUACCUCUGCUAAUAUUGGCUUAAAUCCUGAAUGAUUUCAUUAUCUAAGUAAAUGCUUAAUCUCUUGAAAAUCCUGCUAAACUUUUGCCUUUGCUGAAAGCUCUGAUAAUUUGUUGUAGUUAAUUUUGUAUUUAAAUAUAUUACCUUUUGGUUCCACUAAAUGUUCCUUGUUUUUCCUUUUUAAUAAUGGAGAGAUGAAUAAAUACUAAUUUGAUCCCUUCUGUCAUGUUAUUUUACAGCCUUCUGCUGUUUGCUCCUACUAGUUUCUUGUUUAAGCCAUACCAUUAUUUUUUUUUACAGUUUGCCACUGCAGUCACUGCAAGUGUAUGUAAUGUAAAAUUAAAUACUUAUGGAAGUUUGUGUUUAA